AACGAACGCUGGCGGCAUGCCUAACACAUGCAAGUCGAACGAACCCUUCGGGGUUAGUGGCGCACGGGUGCGUAACGCGUGGGAAUCUGCCCUUUGCUUCGGAAUAACUCAGGGAAACUUGUGCUAAUACCGGAUGAUGUCUUCGGACCAAAGAUUUAUCGGCAAGGGAUGAGCCCGCGUAGGAUUAGGUAGUUGGUGGGGUAAAGGCCUACCAAGCCGACGAUCCUUAGCUGGUCUGAGAGGAUGAUCAGCCACACUGGGACUGAGACACGGCCCAGACUCCCACCGGAGGCAGGAGUGGGGAAUAUUGGACAAUGGGCGCAAGCCUGAUCCAGCAAUGCCGCGUGAGUGAUGAAGGCCCUCGGGUCGUAAAGCUCUUUUACCAGGGAUGAUAAUGACAGUACCUGGAGAAUAAGCUCCGGCUAACUCCGUG
RNAcentral lists this ribosomal RNA (433 nucleotides) under uncultured bacterium. RNAcentral describes it as "partial 16S ribosomal RNA". It matches the Rfam family "Bacterial small subunit ribosomal RNA", at positions 29 to 507 of the family's 1533-position model. The record is from RNAcentral.